RNAcentral lists this ribosomal RNA (450 nucleotides) under uncultured bacterium. RNAcentral describes it as "partial 16S ribosomal RNA". It matches the Rfam family "Bacterial small subunit ribosomal RNA", at positions 354 to 796 of the family's 1533-position model. The record is from RNAcentral.
GUGGGGAAUUUUGGACAAUGGGGGCAACCCUGAUCCAGCCAUCCCGCGUGUGCGAUGAAGGCCUUCGGGUUGUAAAGCACUUUUGGCAGGAAAGAAAUCGCACGGGAUAAUACCUCGUGUGGAUGACGGUACCUGCAGAAUAAGCACCGGCUAACUACGUGCCAGCAGCCGCGGUAAUACGUAGGGUGCAAGCGUUAAUCGGAAUUACUGGGCGUAAAGCGUGCGCAGGCGGUUCGGAAAGAAAGAUGUGAAAUCCCAGGGCUUAACCUUGGAACUGCAUUUUUAACUACCGGGCUAGAGUGUGUCAGAGGGGGGUGGAAUUCCGCGUGUAGCAGUGAAAUGCGUAGAUAUGCGGAGGAACACCGAUGGCGAAGGCAGCCCCCUGGGAUAACACUGACGCUCAUGCACGAAAGCGUGGGGAGCAAACAGGAUUAGAAACCCGGGUAGUCC